CAGGCCUAACACAUGCAAGUCGAGCGGAUGACGGGAGCUUGCUCCCGAAUUCAGCGGCGGACGGGUGAGUAAUGCCUAGGAAUCUGCCUGGUAGUGGGGGACAACGUCUCGAAAGGGACGCUAAUACCGCAUACGUCCUACGGGAGAAAGCAGGGGACCUUCGGGCCUUGCGCUAUCAGAUGAGCCUAGGUCGGAUUAGCUAGUUGGUGAGGUAAUGGCUCACCAAGGCGACGAUCCGUAACUGGUCUGAGAGGAUGAUCAGUCACACUGGAACUGAGACACGGUCCAGACUCCUACGGGAGGCAGCAGUGGGGAAUAUUGGACAAUGGGCGAAAGCCUGAUCCAGCCAUGCCGCGUGUGUGAAGAAGGUCUUCGGAUUGUAAAGCACUUUAAGUUGGGAGGAAGGGCAUUAACCUAAUACGUUAGUGUUUUGACGUUACCGACAGAAUAAGCACCGGCUAACUCUGUGCCAGCAGCCGCGGUAAUACAGAGGGUGCAAGCGUUAAUCGGAAUUACUGGGCGUAAAGCGCGCGUAGGUGGUUUGUUAAGUUGGAUGUGAAAGCCCCGGGCUCAACCUGGGAACUGCAUUCAAAACUGACAAGCUAGAGUAUGGUAGAGGGUGGUGGAAUUUCCUGUGUAGCGGUGAAAUGCGUAGAUAUAGGAAGGAACACCAGUGGCGAAGGCGACCACCUGGACUGA
RNAcentral lists this ribosomal RNA (699 nucleotides) under Pseudomonas sp. Its description in RNAcentral is "bacterial SSU rRNA". It matches the Rfam family "Bacterial small subunit ribosomal RNA", at positions 43 to 737 of the family's 1533-position model. Lineage: Bacteria; Pseudomonadati; Pseudomonadota; Gammaproteobacteria; Pseudomonadales; Pseudomonadaceae. The record is from RNAcentral.